GUGAGGAAUAUUGCGCAAUGGAGGCAACUCUGACGCAGCCAUGCCGCGUGCAGGAAGAAGGCGCUACGCGUUGUAAACUGCUUUUAACCGGGAAGAAACCCCAGGACGUGUCCUGGGUUGACGGUACCGGAGGAAUAAGCACCGGCUAACUUCGUGCCAGCAGCCGCGGUAAUACGAAGGGUGCAAGCGUUAUCCGGAUUCAUUGGGUUUAAAGGGUGCGUCGGCGGAGCGUUAAGUCAGUGGUGAAAUCCUGCAGCUUAACUGUAGACUUGCCAUUGAUACUGGCGCUCUUGAGUGCGCUUGAAGUGGGCGGAAUGUGCCGUGUAGCGGUGAAAUGCUUAGAUAUGGCACAGAACACCAAUUGCGAAGGCAGCUCACUAAGGCGAUACUGACGCUGAGGCACGAAAGCGUGGGGAUCGAACAGGAUUAGAAACCCGGGUAGUCC
Molecule: ribosomal RNA, 445 nt
Filed under: uncultured bacterium
Lineage: Bacteria
Description: partial 16S ribosomal RNA
Rfam family: Bacterial small subunit ribosomal RNA
Source: RNAcentral